AGGGCACCACCAGGAGUGGAGCCUGCGGCUUAAUUUGACUCAACACGGGAAAACUCACCCGGCCCGGACACUGGAAGGAUUGACAGAUUGAGAGCUCUUUCUUGAUUCAGUGGGUGGUGGUGCAUGGCCGUUCUUAGUUGGUGGAGUGAUUUGUCUGGUUAAUUCCGAUAACGAACGAGACUCUAGCCUAUUAAAUAGAUCGUUGGCUUACAAACGCCGGCGAGACUUCUUAGAGGGACAGGCGGCGAUUCAGCCGCACGAAACAGAGCGAUAACAGGUCUGUGAUGCCCUUAGAUGUCCGGGGCCGCACGCGCGCUACACUGAAGUGAUCAGCGUGCAUUUUGAAACCUACUCUGUCAAGAGUGGGGAACCCAAUGAACCUUCUUCGUGAUUGGGAUAGGGGAUUGUAAUUAUUCCCCUUGAACGAGGAAUUCCCAGUAAGCGCGAAUCAUAAGUUUGCGCUGAUUACGUCCCUGCCCUUUGUACACACCGCCCGUCGCUACUACCGAUUGAAUGUUU
RNAcentral lists this ribosomal RNA (519 nucleotides) under uncultured eukaryote. Its description in RNAcentral is "SSU rRNA". It matches the Rfam family "Eukaryotic small subunit ribosomal RNA", at positions 1161 to 1698 of the family's 1831-position model. The record is from RNAcentral.